AGUCGAGUUCCUAACCCUGUCGGGAGGUAGGAACUGGUCCCGGAGCUGGCGGGAGGAGGGCCUGUGGUAGCGCGGCAGCUUGCACCGCCUCGUGGUCACCAGUGGCGUGUGCAUGUGCGGCAGCGGCUAGGACCCCAGGGCGGGGCAACCGAGGCACCCGCCGCAGACCAAGCCGACGCGCUUCGGCUACGCCAUGCAGGCGUCCACGCGGGUGCUGCGGUGGAGGGGGCGGGGCUUGGUGGGCGGCUCGAGGGCCUGUUGGAGUGGCCGGUCGAGGCGCAGGAGGGCCGGCCGCUUCCUCGGGUGCUCGCUGUGCCUGUGGUCGUGGAAGGGGCGGCCGCGCAUGCUGCCGCGGUGCAACCAGCGCUUCUUGUACAACAAGUGCUAGGGGAACGGGCUGGGCAAGUCCUCGUCGUGCCCAAGAACGUGGCGGCGCGCCAGGCGCCUCUUCAUCUCCGUGUGCCACGAGGAGAGCCGGCGGAAGAACAAGAACCCAGAGCAUCCAUCGACGCCGUCCUCGAAGAGCCGAAGGCCGACGAGCUGGCGCUGCUACUGCGGCUCGAGCGGCCUGUGCCAGAGCGGCCACAGCUCGCAGUGCGGCCUACUGCCCAGCUGCCGCCGCCGCGCCCGCAACUCCGCUUGCCUCGGGCGCCCCUCCGCCAGGCGCUCGACGGGCCGCUACCGCGGCUACGGCCGGAGGCCGUCCCGUAACAGUGGUUCCCGCUCCGCGAACUUGUGCUCGAGCUUCUCCGCCCUGCUGCACAGCUCGCGGCCCAGCUUCUUAUAGGGGCGCUCCUUGCCGGCGUCCUUGGCGAGGUGCUACCUGCCGCUCUUGGGCUCGAAGAGGUCUACGCAGCGGCACCAGCAGAGGCCGCUCCUCUGCUACUGCAGCAGGCCCCACCGCCGGCGCGCCUCGGCCCACUACGGCUGCUCCUCGAACAGCCCUUCCCACGGCUGUCCCCUCUUCUGCCUCCUCUCCCUCGCCUACCCCUUCGCCUUGCCCAGCCUCUCGUACACCUUGCCGCUGGGCGGGAGCGGCCGCGGCUAUAUAUGCUCACGCGGCCCCUUCUUGCCGACCUCCGCGUCGCGGACCUUCAGCUCCUCCGCGACCGUGAGGCCCAUGCGCCACUCCUUCUAGACCUUCGGGGCCAGCUCGUCCAUGGGCAGCUGGAGCAGCCACCGCUGCGCCGGCGGCUGCGCCAGGCUCCGAAGGUCGUCGCACUUGCCGUGCCUCUCCCUCCGGUCCACCCACCGGCGGCGCUCCGGGCGUUCGGGCGGCGGCUGCUACUGCCGGACGAACAGCCGGACCAAGUGCAAGUGGCUACAGCGGCGCCGCCUCUGCCGCUUGGCCUCCCACCGUACCGCCGCCCCGCACCCUCCGCGCCCCUGCUCCUCCACCCGCCGCACCUGCGCGUACCCCCAACGCCAACGCCAACGCCGCUCACCGCCCUUCUCUGGCCCGUCUUUGCCCCUUAGCACCGCCCCAUGCCAAACCCUCCACAUC
This 1504-nucleotide ribosomal RNA is filed under the name Triticum aestivum (bread wheat). RNAcentral's name for it is "partial small subunit ribosomal RNA". The record is from RNAcentral. Lineage: Eukaryota; Viridiplantae; Streptophyta; Magnoliopsida; Poales; Poaceae.